UACGGAGGGUGCAAGCGUUAUCCGGAUUCACUGGGGUUAAAGGGUGCGUAGGUGGGUUGGUAAGUCAGUGGUGAAAUCCCCGAGCUUAACUUGGGAACUGCCAUUGAUACUAUCAGUCUUGAAUACUGUGGAGGUCAGCGGAAUAUGUCAUGUAGCGGUGAAAUGCUUAGAUAUGACAUAGAACACCGAUUGCGAAGGCAGCUCACUACAGAGUCAUUGACGCUGAGGCACGAAAGCGUGGGGAUCAAACAGG
Molecule: ribosomal RNA, 253 nt
Filed under: uncultured bacterium
Lineage: Bacteria
Description: partial 16S ribosomal RNA
Rfam family: Bacterial small subunit ribosomal RNA
Source: RNAcentral